This 324-nucleotide unclassified non-coding RNA is filed under the name Hevea brasiliensis (rubber tree). The record is from RNAcentral. Lineage: Eukaryota; Viridiplantae; Streptophyta; Magnoliopsida; Malpighiales; Euphorbiaceae.
CCUUCUAUUACUUCAUGCUUCACAUUACCAACAAAAGCCUCACUGUUCUCUUCAUGGGUGCUGGUUGCGAGACCUAGUGCAUGGUAAGUGAGGUUUGAAGUUCCAGACAAAGAUGAUCCAGUGCUUUGAGGUCUAGUGUUUGCGUCAUAUCUGUAGUUAUCCAUGUCAUAUUUCCUGCCACUUAACUGCCGUUGAACACGAGUUUCGACUUGCCUGCCGGAGCUGAAGUCAAUAGAGGAUGAAGCAGAGGUACUGGCAUGUCCAAAGGAGCUUCUCAAACUGUUUGCACCAUCUCGAGUAUAAGAGAAAUCAUCGUAAGUGAUG